This 79-nucleotide small RNA is filed under the name Arabidopsis thaliana (thale cress). Its description in RNAcentral is "ATSL258440". Lineage: Eukaryota; Viridiplantae; Streptophyta; Magnoliopsida; Brassicales; Brassicaceae. The record is from RNAcentral.
ACGUAAUUGGGAAAAUAUAAUCAGGAGAUUGGUUUUGUACGUGAAUGGUAAUAAAAACGACGGUGGAAAUGAUCAUAUU